This 253-nucleotide ribosomal RNA is filed under the name uncultured bacterium. RNAcentral's name for it is "partial 16S ribosomal RNA". It matches the Rfam family "Bacterial small subunit ribosomal RNA", at positions 524 to 776 of the family's 1533-position model. The record is from RNAcentral.
UACAGAGGUCCCAAGCGUUGUUCGGAUUCACUGGGCGUAAAGGGUGCGUAGGCGGUCGGGUAAGUCUGGCGUGAAAUCUCCAAGCCUAACUUGGAAACUGCGUUGGAUACUAUCCGGCUCGAGGAAUGGAGGGGAGACUGGAACACUUGGUGUAGCAGUGAAAUGCGUAGAUAUCAAGUGGAACACCAGUGGCGAAGGCGAGUCUCUGGACAUUUCCUGACGCUGAGGCACGAAAGCCAGGGGAGCAAACGGG